RNAcentral lists this long non-coding RNA (5300 nucleotides) under Gallus gallus (chicken). RNAcentral's name for it is "lncRNA (ENSGALG00010029876.1)". The record is from RNAcentral. Lineage: Eukaryota; Metazoa; Chordata; Aves; Galliformes; Phasianidae.
AUCCUUCUCCCUCCCAGACUUUAAAUGCUUCCUGUAAAGCCAUAGAUGCAACUUAUUAAUGCCUCCAUGUGUUAUUGUAAAUGAAGGAUUCACAGCAGUGGCUGUAGCCAUCGAAUAUUCAAGGAUGUGGGCAAGCACUGUCAGCCACUGGCUAAGAGAACGGCACAGAUGGGAUCCAGGAGGGGAGGUAUUCUCCUCCCUGGGCCAGGUGUGCAGAUGCAGUCUCUAUUCCAGCUCUCCUAUGGGACAUUUGGGCUCCGAGGUGCUGCUGCAUCACCAGAGGCUCAUCCACACCUCUGCUGCCCCAGGAGCAUGCAAUGCCUGACCUGCUCGGCCCACUUUGCACUGCAACAGUAAAUUAAACAUCUUCAUUAGCUUAUUUGAUAGUUGAAUGAAAUGCUUUGAAACACUGGCACAUUAACUGCAAUCAAGUUUUGAAAGGUCUCUGGUUGCUGGAAGGAAAUUAGCCUGAUAAAUUGCUCUUUUCAAUUAAACAAAUGGGUAAUUUUUCACAAGCAAGCCCAGAAGCUAUCAUUUGGGAAGGGUGGUUUUGUGUUGUUUUUUCUUUUUUCUUUUUUCCUUUGCUUUGCUUUUUUCAUGUUUUCCAACCAUUUCUCUUAAGGGACAGAUUUAUCCGGUGACUGACUCUCACCAAAGGUGUAAGACAGAGCCAUCCUGCCCGUCUGCCCCACACCGCCCCACGGGGGUCUCACGGCAGAGACUUCUGAAUUGCUCUCCCAAAGUGAUAACAGCUAAUGGUGUGACCUCGAUUCUUUGCCUGCCUUUAUGCUCCUCUGUUUACAUGUUUGUGUAAGGAAGCAUUACCUUCCGUGGGUCAAAAAGGCCUGUUGAAGUGAAGCAGAGUCCCAGGAUAAUUGUAGUUACUAAGUAACUUUCAUCUCACAAUGAACUGCUUGAGGCCAUUGAGUUGUGUGUUGGCUUCUCCUUGGGUCCAAACCAGUGUCUGACCUCAAUACACCGCCAGUCCUCAACACUACGAAGACAGCCUGCAUUCAAAAAGCAUUCCCCGAGCUUAGAAGCCAGAACAGAUUGUGUCCAUUGUGUACUAAGUCUGGAGGGGACCCCAGAAAUGCACGCUGACCCCAGUUUCACACCAGAGCUAUAGACGUGCUAAGAACUUCGUCUGCUCCAUGGCAGAAAAGCAAAUGUUAGUGUAAGCAACAGCAGCUCUGGAUUUGUCUCGCCUUGGGCAUAUUUAUCCAGGGCAUUGCCAUGACAUCAUUCACAUUAAGACUUGUGUUGUCGGCUGUUUCAGAUCCUAGAAGCUGACACAAGCUCUAGUCCAUAGGUCAAGAUGCUGUCAGACUUCAGAUGAUCCUGGAAGAAUAACAGAGCUCUGCCAACAGCAGGCUGAUAGCCAUUGCAGCAGUGCAGUGUCAGACCAAUCGCGUGAGGGAACCUAAGUUAUAUUUAUUUCUUGAAAACGAGGCUUUCUUGCUGAGAAUAUAGACACUGCGUGUUAAAAUCCAGCUGUAAAAGGCUACCACAGCUUCGUCUUUGAGGACUGAAUACGGUAAUUUGGGGCUUUUUAUGGUGUCGGAAGAGACCACAAAUGAUAUAAGAACUUCCUUCCACCAACUACAUAAAAAAAAAAAGCAAAGAUAUCCUACUGUACUCUGGAGUAACUGCAUAAAACAUGAUGAUUCAUGUGAUUAGAAAUUCUCCUUUAUUUUUCCUCUGUGCACAACGCUGCUCUUGGUGAACUGUUCAUCACAGUGCGUAAUUACAUUCCUUUCACCUCAACUGCCUCUACGUUUUUCAUGUCUUCCUCCUGAAAUGCUGAUUGUUCUGGAGUGUCUCGGUGUGUCUGGAAGCGAUCUGCAUGCAGAGACUCUGCUGUUGGCUGCAGUGUGGCUUAGGAGAAAUUCAGCACUUGGACAAAAGACUGCCAAGAUGUGGAGUCCCCCAGCGGUCUGAUGGCACCCAGCUCUACGUGGUUGCUGCUGAGAUAGAGGUUCAAAAGUACAGAGUGUCUUCUUGAGCUUAGGGUUAUUGUGCAGCACUGCUUUCCUUCUGAGGACCGCCCUUGUAGGCAAACAGUGCCCUGGGGUCAACAGGAGAUGACCUGUUGACCCCAGGAGAUGAAGCUCCGUGUCAUCAUGAGCAGAAGUGGAGGUGUCUGAGAACUGUUUGAGUACAGCUUGCACUUCUACGGGGAAACCCACCCAGCUCAGCCUCAGGGCUUCUGCACUUAGAUUUCAUCAGUGUUAUCGGUGGGCUCUAACCUGGAGCACUCAUCUACUGGGAUGGUCUGCAAAGGUCUCUGCUCUCCCUCGAGCAGCAAGUGACUUGCAGUGCCUAGUCCUCCUGGAAUCACAGAGUCAUUGAGGUUGGAAAAGACCACUAAGAUCAUGCAGUCCAAGCACCACCCCGUCCCCACCAUACCCCUGACCACGUCCCUCAGUGCCACAUCUCCAUGGUUCUUGAACACCUUCAGGAGCAGUGACUCCACCACUACCUUAGAGCUGCUGUGCCAACGCAUCAUCACCCCUCCUGAGGUGAAGUUUUCCCUAACACACAACCUGAACCUCUCCUGGCACAACUUAAGCUCCCCGAGCUCUGAAUGGGCCGUGCCUUUCAUCUGAAACACAAAAAUGGCACCUGUCCAAACCCAGAUCACAGGCUCGCACUCAGGUUUGUUUUGCUGCUAUCUCAUCUUCCUGUUUUCUUGUCCUCCCUCCCCAUCUCUUUGUUCUGCCUGCCCAGACUGUGCUGUGCUAACUGACGUUGGGAGCCGUGUGGGCAGGGAAUGGGUUUUGUUUUUAAUAAAAAGGAGGGGGGGGGGGGAAAGCAGCGUGGUUACAUCAUCUUGCACAACAGGUCCCCGCUCUGUGGCUGGGCCAAGGGAGCCCGACAGAGCUGCAGAAAAUAUGAAAAAACUCAGGAUGGCAAUAAUUAAACGAUAUCACAGCGUGUUGCAUGUAAUAACAAUACGUUCCAGUCUGCUCCUCGCAUGGAAACCCCCAGGUAUACCUGGCAACGAGGGAGACAGGGAGCGGAAUGCUAAUGACGGCGGAGGAGGGGGGCACCUAAUGGCGCUGUGGCUAAUUGCCAGUUGUGCCUGCUCUUUGAACAGUCUUCCCGUGCUGAGCUAGGCAUAUUUUUGGCCUGUAGAAAACGGGGCAGGGUGUUGAUAGGGCUCUGUGUUUUCCUUAAGCUUCCUACGGGCCGGCGGUGUGAAGGCCUACGGAGCCACGAGGUCUGCGUGCGGCCCAGGAGCGGCCUGCAGGGUUUGGAAACCCACAGCAGCGGGUCAGACCCGAGGAAAGAAACUGCAAUUGUGGAGAGCACCAGAUGCAGAACAGAAGUCUCUGCUGGUUUGCUUGUUGCAAAAGGCCCCCGCUGACUUUACCUUUGGGUCUGUUCUACCAUCUCUCAUUGUUUCACGUAAGCGUUUCUCUGGUAAUUAGGCUGGUAAUGACAAUCAUCCCUGGUGGCCCUCCCUGGUUGAGAAAGCUCUGCUCGUGGGCAGCGAGUUUUGUCUCUUAAGUGGGGAAGGCCGAGUGUCUAUAACUGCAAACGUUGCCCCGGUUAUGAUGGAAAACCUUUAUAAAAGAGGAAAGCUUUGCUGCAUUUCCUAGAAGUGAUUCAGAAUGCAUUUGUCUGGUUUCCUCUGGAAGCUCUGGAAUGUUUUGUCCCUGGCUGCUUCCUUCUGGACUCUGCGGUCUGCGCCGUCCCGGAGGAGCACAGAUAGCUCUGAUUUGCAGCUGCAGGUGCAGGCUUCUUGUAGCUGGGCACAGAUAUGUUCAGAGCUUUGAAGACCAAGACCUUGAACUAGCAGCGGAUGCAGAUUAAAAACCCUCUUCAGCUUCCUAAAGUGCAACUGAACUUCUGCAUGAGGCGACGAAGGAAAACAACCCCCUGGUUUCCAGGGGCUUUUUUAAACGUAGCAGGGAUUUGAUGUUUUAUCUUUGUUGCCUUUCCUCUAAAUGAUUUCAAACUACCCAUGGAUACGAAUGCCUCUAAUUUCAAGGCUUUCCUUUUGGGAUACAACAAAGUGAAGGCAGCCACUCAGAAGUUUGGCUGCAGGCAGGAGAAGAACAGAUGUGUCCAUGAGCGGACACAGCCAUCCGUGGGAGCUGGAAGAACAGAGGGGAAUGGGAAGUUCUGGUUUCAGAAGCUUGUCCUCGGAGCUGGAUGUAAGAGGGUUCUGCCCUAAGAACACAGGCUCUACAGGCUGAUUGUACAGCAGCAGCUCCUCUACUGGUCUUUACAAAACCCAUUUGAGGUCUACUAAUGAAAAGUGCUAUGGAAUUAUUGGUCUGACUUCUAUUCCUGCAGAAUUAGUGCGGCCCGAAGCCAGAGGGAGCCCUUCUGCUGGGAGGUUUGGAUCACCUUUGCUCAAGGUUCUAACACCCCUCGCUUGCCCUUGAUUCCCAUGUGGUGUCGGUGGGGAUGGGGGGCCACAGGCUGGGGUUGGUGCCUGGGUGCUGCACUGGGCUCUCUCUGCUCUGCCUCCCAUUGCUGAUGAGUGGCAGGGACAGACAGCCCACUGCCUUCCAACUGUUGGCUGCCAUACACACAGGCUCUGAACAAUUGUGAUUCCACUUUUGUUACACUUCCAUGGAAAGUGGGCCGUUUCUUGUUUUUUUUUUCCCCCACUUUCACAGAAACACACUUGAGUUGGAAGGGACCUCUAGAACCCAUCUGGUCCCACUCCCUGCAGUGCACAGGGGCACCCACAGCUCCAUCAGGUGCUCAGAGCCCCAUCCAGUCUGAUCCUGGGUGUCUCCAAGGAUGGGGCAUCCAUCACACCCUUGGAUAGCCCGUGCCAAUGCCUUACCAUCCUUGUUAUAAAAAACUUUUUUCUUGUAUGCAAUCUAAAUCUUCCCUCUUUUAGUUUGAAACCGUUUCCCCUCAUCCUAUCACAGCAGACCCAGCUAAGGAACCUGUCCCAUCCUUUCUUAUCACUCCCCUUUUUCUUUGUAGGGAAACUGAUGCAGGCUGCGUAUCGGCAGCGUAGGGGAACGAACCGGAUGAGAGGAGAAUAUUUAUUUAUUAUGGGAAUGUCUGAAGUUAUCCUUUCUGCUGGCUUUUGGCUCAAGGAGGAGCACCCCGCGUGCCACCCAGAGUCAAAGGGUAAGUGCAGUGAAAAAUAACAAUCAAAGAAAAAAAAACCAGCAAGGAAAAAGAAAAAAAAAAGAAAGGAAAAGGAAAGAGGUAGCGUUGCAAGUAAAGCUGGGAGAUUGCCAUUAAGAAGAAAAAAAAAAAAAAAUUAAAAAGGUGGGGGUGGUCACCAUGGGGCCGGCUGGGCUCCGGGUCCCGCCCGCUCCCGUCCC